RNAcentral lists this ribosomal RNA (253 nucleotides) under uncultured bacterium. RNAcentral's name for it is "partial 16S ribosomal RNA". It matches the Rfam family "Bacterial small subunit ribosomal RNA", at positions 524 to 776 of the family's 1533-position model. The record is from RNAcentral.
UACGAAGGGUGCAAACGUUGCUCGGAAUCAUUGGGCGUAAAGCGCACGUAGGCGGCUUCGCAAGUCGGAUGUGAAAUACCUAGGCUCAACCAAGGACGUGCAUCCGAAACUGCGAGGCUUGAGUACAGAAGAGGAUCGCGGAAUUCCCGGUGUAGAGGUGAAAUUCGUAGAUAUCGGGAGGAACACCAGUGGCGAAGGCGGCGAUCUGGGCUGAUACUGACGCUGAGGUGCGAAAGCGUGGGGAGCAAACAGG